Molecule: ribosomal RNA, 495 nt
Filed under: uncultured bacterium
Lineage: Bacteria
Description: partial 16S ribosomal RNA
Rfam family: Bacterial small subunit ribosomal RNA
Source: RNAcentral
UGAACGCUGGCGGCGUGCCUCAUACAUGCAAGUCGAGCGAACGGACGCGAAGCUUGCUUCUCUGAUGUUAGCGGCGGACGGGUGAGUAACACGUGGAUAACCUACCUAUAAGACUGGGAUAACUUCGGGAAACCGGAGCUAAUACCGGAUAAUAUUUUGAACCGCAUGGUUCAAAAGUGAAAGACGGUCUUGCUGUCACUUAUAGAUGGAUCCGCGCUGCAUUAGCUAGUUGGUAAGGUAACGGCUUACCAAGGCAACGAUGCAUAGCCGACCUGAGAGGGUGAUCGGCCACACUGGAACUGAGACACGGUCCAGACUCCUACGGGAGGCAGCAGUAGGGAAUCUUCCGCAAUGGGCGAAAGCCUGACGGAGCAACGCCGCGUGAGUGAUGAAGGUCUUCGGAUCGUAAAACUCUGUUAUUAGGGAAGAACAUAUGUGUAAGUAACUGUGCACAUCUUGACGGUACCUAAUCAGAAAGCCACGGCUAACUACGUG